RNAcentral lists this long non-coding RNA (1776 nucleotides) under Triticum aestivum (bread wheat). RNAcentral's name for it is "long non-coding RNA (TAES_LNC005267)". The stretch from base 948 to 1073 matches the Rfam family "MIR1120/MIR1122 microRNA precursor family". The record is from RNAcentral. Lineage: Eukaryota; Viridiplantae; Streptophyta; Magnoliopsida; Poales; Poaceae.
UGAUAAAGCAUGCAAAUCAUUUACCAUCUCUUUGCCCAUUUGAGGGGAGAGCAUUUCAAAGGAAUCAUGGACUGGAGGUGUAAGGUUAGAUGGCAAACUAUUUUGCUCACGCAGUUUGAUGACAAAAUUCAUGAAGUCAACUUCCCUGUUUAUUUGGCUCAUGAUUAAUGUUUUUUUAACUUCCAAAUGUUGGCUAGCAAUUGAUAUACUAUGAUCAAACAUGUCAUAAUUCAUUGAUUUAUGGUCACUAUUACAUUUGAUAAUUUAUAAUCACAUAAAUGAACUUAAAUGUUCCGGGCCUGGCAUGUUAGCAUUGGUUUACAUUAUAGUACAAUGAAUAUAUGAUGGAAACAAUGUCGCAAGAUCACUCAGCACUAUAGGCCGGCACGGCAGAACAUGCAUACGCUUCUAGUUUACAUGACGAGUACUUCAUUUGCUUGCAUCAUGCAUGCAUGUAGCUUUCAAAAUAAAUUAUUAUGUUGUAACAAAACCUUAAUCUAAGAAGACCGAAAGUAUGUGUAGAAUAACGCUACUUAGUGCAUUCCUAGUACAUGAUAUCGGAACUCCUGGAAAUUAUCAUUCUUGAGCUGAUUAUGUGUCUCCAUUCACACCUCUUCCUAUUUAAUUGCAGAAUGCUCAUACUGAAAAUAGCAAUGCAGCCAAGUUAGGUGGUCUUCACCAAGUCACUAAGCAGGUACAUAUAUGCUGGGUAUCCAAACAGUUGUAUAAUUGUAGUUGGUCUAAUUCUCUAUGACAUUGUCCUUCUUUGCGUAAAGUGAAAUCUUCCCAGUUUUAUGAAUAACAAUGUUUCAUUUCUUGCAAAACUGGGAUAAGACUGAAGUCUUGUUCUUUUCAAUCAAUUUGAGAAAUAAAAACAAACCCAUGACCAAUGGAACUUUAGGGGGUAAAGAUAGAACAUAUGUGGUUGAAGGAAACAUGCUUGGAGAGCAGUACUCCCUCCGUCCGAAAAAGCUUGCCCCUCAAAUGAAUGUAUCUAGCACCAAGUUAGUGCUAGAUACAUCCAUUUGAGGGACAAGCUUGGGACAAGCUUUUUUGGACGGAGGGAGUAUGUUGCAUUCUCUGUCCGUGGCUCUACAAAUCUAGGAGAUGUGAACUGGUUAGACCAUAUGAAAAAUUCCAACCAGUAGGAGAUGUUGGUUAUGUUUUUGCUUGGCCUUGCUCACAUGUAAGUAUGUUUCCAUACAAGCAUCGAGUGUGCUCCAAUAUCCACAUUUAAGAUACUUCAGUGAUAUAAAAUCUUUGUGGCUUUUUGGUACAAAAAACUAAGCCAACCAUUCAAACGAAGCAUUUGUAUGAUACACUUCUUAUAAUUUAUCAAAGAACAUCUUAUCUUGCACUUGUCUAAAACAUUGUUCAUUUUCAUUUUCAGGGCGGUUGAGGAUUUCAAAAGAGAGUGCAUUAAGGGAGCUAGGAGUAAUUGGGUAGUUGAGGAUUUGAAAAGGGAGUGCACUGAAGGAGCCAGGAUCAGUUGAUGAAACAGUCUGUGAAUGAACAAGUAUUGUGGCUUAUGUUAUAUUUUAGCUUAAUGAGAACCAUAGUUCUAGACUAUAGGAUAUUUUCUUAUUUAUUUGCAUGUUCUGUAUGAAUGUCUCUUAAUAUUCAGUUUUGAACUUCGGUGUAUGUAUCUGUUCGGGCUAAUUGCUCCACUCAGCUUGCCUUUUUUUAAGGGGAACUCAGCCUGUCAAUUUUGAUAACGCGAUGUUUGCAAAUGCAAUCUAUGACGUGGAAUGGUUCCUUCAUAUAAUGAUAUUGUUU